UACGUAGGGGGCAAGCGUUGUCCGGAAUCAUUGGGCGUAAAGCGCGUGUAGGCGGCUCGGUAAGUCCGCUCUGAAAGUCCGGGGCUCAACCCCGGGAGGCGGGUGGAUACUGCUGAGCUCGAGUCCGGAAGAGGCGAGUGGAAUUCCUGGUGUAGCGGUGAAAUGCGCAGAUAUCAGGAGGAACACCAAUGGCGAAGGCAGCUCGCUGGGACGUUACUGACACUAAGGCGCGAAAGCGUGGGGAGCGAACAGG
Molecule: ribosomal RNA, 253 nt
Filed under: uncultured bacterium
Lineage: Bacteria
Description: partial 16S ribosomal RNA
Rfam family: Bacterial small subunit ribosomal RNA
Source: RNAcentral